GGGGGUAUAGCUCAGUUGGUAGAGUGCUGCCUCCUGUGCAUAGGCCCUGGGCUCAAUCCCCAGCACUGCAG
Molecule: transfer RNA, 71 nt
Filed under: Marmota monax (woodchuck)
Lineage: Eukaryota; Metazoa; Chordata; Mammalia; Rodentia; Sciuridae
Description: tRNA.Arg
Source: RNAcentral